GGCGGGAUAGCUCAUUUGGUAAGCAAAGGACUGAAAAUCCUCGUGUC
This 47-nucleotide transfer RNA is filed under the name Chordifex fastigiatus. Its description in RNAcentral is "partial tRNA-Phe". Lineage: Eukaryota; Viridiplantae; Streptophyta; Magnoliopsida; Poales; Restionaceae. The record is from RNAcentral.